Molecule: ribosomal RNA, 266 nt
Filed under: uncultured bacterium
Lineage: Bacteria
Description: partial 16S ribosomal RNA
Rfam family: Bacterial small subunit ribosomal RNA
Source: RNAcentral
CCCGGCGACCGGCGCACGGGUGAGUAACACGUAUGGAACCUGCCCGCAGCAGGGGGAUAAGCGGAAGAAAUUCCGUCUAAUACCGCGUAACACCGCAGAGGGGCAUCCCUCGGCGGUUAAAGAUUCAUCGGCUGCGGAUGGCCAUGCGGCGCAUUAGCUAGUCGGCGGGGUAACGGCCCACCGAGGCGACGAUGCGUAGGGGUUCUGAGAGGAAGGUCCCCACACUGGUACUGAGACACGGACCAGACUCCUACGGGAGGCAGCAG